GGAGAGGUGGCCGAGCGGUUGAAGGCGCUCGUCUCGAAAACGAGUAGAUCGAAAGGUCUCGCGGGUUCGAAUCCCGCCCUCUCCGCCA
This 88-nucleotide transfer RNA is filed under the name Chloroflexi bacterium HGW-Chloroflexi-9. Its description in RNAcentral is "tRNA-Ser". It matches the Rfam family "tRNA". Rfam says of the family: Transfer RNA (tRNA) molecules are approximately 80 nucleotides in length. Their secondary structure includes four short double-helical elements and three loops (D, anti-codon, and T loops). Lineage: Bacteria; Bacillati; Chloroflexota. RNAcentral also lists the same sequence under 1 other name. The record is from RNAcentral.